CUGCCCUUCAGAGGGGGAUAACGUCUGGAAACGGACGCUAAUACCGCAUGACAUAUUUCCAUCGCAUGGUGGAGAUAUCAAAGGAGCAAUCCGCUGAAGGAUGGACUCGCGUCCGAUUAGAUAGUUGGCGGGGUAACGGCCCACCAAGUCGACGAUCGGUAGCCGGACUGAGAGGUUGAACGGCCACAUUGGGACUGAGACACGGCCCAGACUCCUACGGGAGGCAGCAGUGGGGGAUAUUGCACAAUGGGCGAAAGCCUGAUGCAGCAACGCCGCGUGAGGGAAGACGGUUUUCGGAUUGUAAACCUCUGUUCUAAGUGACGAACAAAUGACGGUAGCUUAGGAGAAAGCCCCGGCUAACUACGUGCCAGCAGCCGCGGUAAUACGUAGGGGGCAAGCGUUGUCCGGAAUUACUGGGUGUAAAGGGAGCGCAGGCGGAGAAGCAAGUCAGUGGUGAAAACGAUGGGCUUAACUCAUCGACUGCCAUUGAAACUGUUUCCCUUGAGUGAAGUAGAGGCAGGCGGAAUUCCGAGUGUAGCGGUGAAAUGCGUAGAUAUUCGGAGGAACACCAGUGGCGAAGGCGGCCUGCUGGGCUUUAACUGACGCUGAGGCUCGAAAGUGUGGGGAGCAAACAGGAUUAGAUACCCUGGUAGUCCACACUGUAAACGAUGAUUACUAGGUGUGGGGGGUCUGACCCCUUCCGUGCCGGAG
This 711-nucleotide ribosomal RNA is filed under the name uncultured bacterium. RNAcentral's name for it is "bacterial SSU rRNA". It matches the Rfam family "Bacterial small subunit ribosomal RNA", at positions 126 to 851 of the family's 1533-position model. The record is from RNAcentral.